RNAcentral lists this ribosomal RNA (253 nucleotides) under uncultured bacterium. RNAcentral describes it as "partial 16S ribosomal RNA". It matches the Rfam family "Bacterial small subunit ribosomal RNA", at positions 524 to 776 of the family's 1533-position model. The record is from RNAcentral.
UACAGAGGUCUCAAGCGUUGUCCGGAAUUAUUGGGCGUAAAGCGCGCGCAGGCGGUCCUUUAAGUCUGAUGUGAAAGCCCACGGCUCAACCGUGGAGGGUCAUUGGAAACUGGAGGACUUGAGUACAGAAGAGGAAAGCGGAAUUCCACGUGUAGCGGUGAAAUGCGUAGAGAUGUGGAGGAACACCAGUGGCGAAGGCGGCUUUCUGGUCUGUAACUGACGCUGAGGCGCGAAAGCGUGGGGAGCAAACAGG